This 481-nucleotide long non-coding RNA is filed under the name Homo sapiens (human). Its description in RNAcentral is "HSALNT0376577". Lineage: Eukaryota; Metazoa; Chordata; Mammalia; Primates; Hominidae. The record is from RNAcentral.
AAAAACAGCACCAAAAAAAGUCAUGUCACCUUUCCUGACCAGUGAUGCAGCUUCCAUUCUACCACAUUCCAUUCAUCAAGAAUGUGAUGGUUGGAGCUGUUGUAGCUGUAUUACAACCAGGAGGAAAGACUUUGCUGACGUACUAAGGAUGGAAACUAAAAAAAGUUCUUUAGAUCAAGAGGAACUACUUGAAGAGCAGCACUCAACAAAUCUGCACAUCGACCUGGUUUAAAUGCUAAGAUCCUGCCCUUGUAGAUUCGAUGCCAUAAUGAUGAGACUUUCACAAGGUCAAGGGAGAAGUGUGAAAGAGGACUAAUACGUUCCCCAUCAAGCCUCCAGAUGAGAACCCUGUCCUGACCAACAUUUUGAUUGCAGCUUUGCAGAGGACCGAGAUAAACCAUAACUAGACUCCUCACCCAUAGACACUGUGAGAUAAUAAAUGUGUGGUGUUUUAUACUGCUAUAUUUGUAUGCAACUCUGA